UACGAAGGGUGCAAGCGUUGCUCGGAAUUAUUGGGCGUAAAGGGUUGGUAGGUGGUCUUGUUUGUCUUAGGUGAAAUCCCAUGGCUUAACUGUGGAAGUGCCUGAGAAACGGCAAGACUAGAGUCCUAGAGGGGUUUGUGGAAUUCCCGGUGUAGCGGUGAAAUGCGUAGAGAUCGGGAGGAACACCAGCGGCGAAGGCGGCAAACUGGAUAGGCACUGACACUCAACAACGAAAGCGUGGGGAGCAAAC
This 250-nucleotide ribosomal RNA is filed under the name uncultured bacterium. Its description in RNAcentral is "partial 16S ribosomal RNA". It matches the Rfam family "Bacterial small subunit ribosomal RNA", at positions 524 to 773 of the family's 1533-position model. The record is from RNAcentral.